CCUUCUCUCCCGCACCCUUAGCCGCUGCCGCCCCCUUUGGCCAAAAGCCUAGCCGCCGCCCCCGGCCCCGCCGCCGCCCCUCGUGCCGCCACCCCUCCUUCCGAGCAUGUGCCGCCCAUCAUCCCUCCCUCCUCUCCUCUUCUCCUAUCGCGCCGCCCAUUCAUCCGAGCCCAACGACGCCAGAUCCGUGCGCCACCCAUCUUUCCCCAUGUUCCGCUCCCUCCCUGAUAAAGCCCAAAAAUCGUUCCCCUCCUCCUCCUGUGGAUCCAGUCGAACCUGAAUCCCUCCCUCAUCCCCCCCGUUCACUGAAGCCAAUGGCGACUCCACUGGCGAUGGGUGUUGGCGACCAACUGCAGACGCAGACGACGGACUGUCCAAGAGAUCGAUAGAUGGGUGGGUGGGUGGCUGCGGGCGCGUGCUCACGUCGAGUUUCCCUGCAGGUCGGCGGCGGCGGGUCUGUAGACGCGGAUGCCCCUCUGCAGCGCGGCGUUGGCGGCGUGCCUGGGAUCCUGCAUCACCCGAGUGAUGCGGCGCGCCAAGCAACAGUAGGGGAAGGGGGUCUCCUGCUCGAGGAGUCGAAGGAGUAGGGGCGUGCCCAGAAGGCAGACCUGUCCUGCUCGUUGGGGAGGGCCAAGAGGGGUCUGCUCCUCUGCUUCCAUUGCGACCGCGGCAGGUAGCUCCUCCAUCUCCUUCCCCCACUUCUUGUGCUCACUACUUCUGCUGCUAAGUUGACGAAUAUGUGAUGCACUUGUCCCAAGGAAUUUUAGAGGGAUCUGUAUGAACAAGUCAUGUUUUUAUUUUAUUUUAUUUAGGUUGUUAGUUACCAAACAGAGAGAGAGAAGAUGAGCUCCUGCUUGGAUUUUUUUUCUGCCAACACAUGAUUUGUAUGUAUGCAAUCAUCAUCUUGCGUGUGCGAGCUGGUUCCUUGCUUGGCAAUCGCGUCGAUGACCAAGUGUUAGUGCCGAUUUGUUGUGGUGGUGCUCAUCUGGCCAUUUUUUUUUGCUGAUAAUUAGGUGCUAAAUAAUGCUGCAGGUUUAUUAGGAUGUGGCUGAAACCAUUGGAUGGCCUUCGUGGACUUGCUAUCAAUACUGGUCUCAUGUUUUGUUUCCUUUCUGGACAUGUUAUGGUUCAAGUGUUGCUGUUGUUUAGUACUAAGUGCUUAACUUAACUUAGUUUGAGCUACUAAAACCCACUCUCAAAUUAAUGAAUUCCUGUUUUCCGAAACUUCAAUGUUGAGCUCCUCUCCUCGCCGAGCCGUGGCCGUCGAUUUUCAUUUCGUCAACCACCACUCCAGCUACCUUCCAGUGUAAUCAAAUUUGCUCCUGUAUGUAUGUAUGUAUAUAUAUGUAUGAGGCUGGGUAGUUCAACUCUAGUUUUCUUUCUAACUAUAUAUGGUGGAAAUUGUGCAGGUUCGAUGGUGCCAAGUGGCCUCUGGCCAUCUUGAACUGGAACUCCAGUAACAAGUAGAUGUUGCUGCCGUACUCAAUAUUUUAAGUUAUUUUUUUCAUUUUUCAGAGAAGUGUAUUAGGUUGAUGAGAUUAAUUAGCUCAGUUGGCUAAAGUAGCAACAAUAACAGCCACGCUUUGCCAUCCACUUUAUAGCUGGAUUGUACUUACAUGCUUAGGUAACCUUGUACGCAUAGCUGGUCUGUUUAAUUUAUAAAUGGUUAUCUGUUGCUGCUGCGGGAGCAACGUUGCUGAUGGCGAUGGGUACGUGAUGGUGGCUAGUGUGGUGGACGACCCAGAAUAUAGUUGGAUGGAGCUGCUGGAGGUGAAUGGAGCUGCUACUUGGGACAUUGCGUCUCAGCAUUUGUUCAGUGGGUUUGACGCACAGUUUCAGUCAGUCCAAAGUUCGUGAAGAGGUCUGAUGUGGUUUUGUGAAGGAAGGGGAUGUACGGCUCCUCGGGCAGCUCCUUGUCAUGGGCGGCGCCGUCGUCUGCAGGGCCGUUUCUUCUUUGAAUUACCACACACGCGCGUCUUGUUUGUUGCUAAUCAACCAGUGAUUUGGGUGAUUUUGGGUUGCUGUUAGUUUUGCUUCUGCAAUUUAAUGCUGUCAAUGCUCUUUCUCGUUUGGUGGAUCAACUAAUUGCUUACAAAUCCAGCAAGCAUGAAUGCUUAAUUUUACAGAUUUGUUUGACUGACUUUCUCAAAUCUAGCUCGUGUCUAUUUGUUGGAUGUGGAUCAAGUCUCCCUAUGUAGAUGAGUUCUAGAUUCCAGUUCACCAUGUUUUGCUUAUGAAUGAAUGCGCUAGAAGUAGAACAUAAUUUGUUGCAUUGGUGGUUACUUUAUACAUUUUCUGAUUGGUCAAUCAACUAGUUAGCUACAGUUUACAUUGGUCAGGGAAUGUCGAUGGUCAAAGAAUUAACGUCCAUUCUCCAGAUCUUAACAUGUGGUUCUUGGAUAGGUCCCUUUUUGAAGCCUUUUUUAUCUGAAUCCCAUGAAGUAAAUGAGUCUAGUUUUAUAACAGGCAUGCUGUCUUAUUAAAUCAGGGGGAAAUUAUUGCCUGGAUAGGUGUUUUCUUUUGAGAAGUUUGUGGAUGUUGAUCAAGUCCCCCUUUCCGCUCUAUGAAACGUUUCUCCUGUUGUACUUCUUAAAAAGCUUUCCGCCGAUGGCAGGAAGAAGAAGGUUGUUCACAAGAAGAUGGCAGGAAGAAGCAGGCUAAUUUGAUUCGAUCCUCAAGAUGCUGGCCUAUCAUGUUUCUUCGCGAGCAUCAGGACAAAGAAGUUGGAAGAAGCAUAGUUCUAGCUCAUUGGAGCUAGUUCUGGGAGUAAUGAAGCCCUUUAGGCUGAUCCUAUUUGUAUGUGUGUUAUAUGAUGUAGACUGUACACUUGUAGACUCAUGUGGUAGACUGUACACUUGUAGACUCAUGUGGUAGACUGUACACUUGUAGGGCUCAUGUGAUACUCAUGUGGUAGACUGUACACUUGUAGAGCUGUUAUCUAAUUGUAAACUUGAUGCUGAUCACAUUAUGUAUGUAUGUUAUAUGAUGUAGCAUAUUGCUUCUUGCUAUUA
This is a long non-coding RNA of Triticum urartu, 3011 nucleotides long. RefSeq lists it as uncharacterized. NCBI's taxonomy places the organism in Eukaryota, Viridiplantae, Streptophyta, Magnoliopsida, Poales, Poaceae. The record is from RefSeq and is a predicted model, not a curated record.